GAAACCGAGUCUUAACUGGGCGUUAAGUUGCAGGGUAUAGACCCGAAACCCGGUGAUCUAGCCAUGGGCAGGUUGAAGGUUGGGUAACACUAACUGGAGGACCGAACCGACUAAUGUUGAAAAAUUAGCGGAUGACUUGUGGCUGGGGGUGAAAGGCCAAUCAAACCGGGAGAUAGCUGGUUCUCCCCGAAAGCUAUUUAGGUAGCGCCUCGUGAAUUCAUCUCCGGGGGUAGAGCACUGUUUCGGCAAGGGGGUCAUCCCGACUUACCAACCCGAUGCAAACUGCGAAUACCGGAGAAUGUUAUCACGGGAGACACACGGCGGGUGCUAACGUCCGUCGUGAAGAGGGAAACAACCCAGACCGCCAGCUAAGGUCCCAAAGUCAUGGUUAAGUGGGAAACGAUGUGGGAAGGCCCAGACAGCCAGGAUGUUGGCUUAGAAGCAGCCAUCAUUUAAAGAAAGCGUAAUAGCUCACUGGUCGAGUCGGCCUGCGCGGAAGAUGUAACGGGGCUAAACCAUGCACCGAAGCUGCGGCAGCGACACUGUGUGUUGUUGGGUAGGGGAGCGU
RNAcentral lists this ribosomal RNA (568 nucleotides) under Escherichia coli. RNAcentral describes it as "partial 23S ribosomal RNA". It matches the Rfam family "Bacterial large subunit ribosomal RNA", at positions 673 to 1239 of the family's 2925-position model. The record is from RNAcentral. Lineage: Bacteria; Pseudomonadati; Pseudomonadota; Gammaproteobacteria; Enterobacterales; Enterobacteriaceae.